UUUGAGCGGGGAUAGCCCAGAGAAAUUUUGGAUUAAUACCCCAUGGUAUAUUUAGAUGGCAUCAUUUGAAUAUUAAAGAUUUAUCACUCGAAGAUGGCUGUGCGUAUGAUUAGGUAGUUGGCGGGGUAACGGCCCACCAAGCCUACGAUCAUUAACUGGUGUGAGAGCACGACCAGUCACACGGGCACUGAGACACGGGCCCGACUCCUACGGGAGGCAGCAGUAAGGAAUAUUGGUCAAUGGACGCAAGUCUGAACCAGCCAUGCCGCGUGGAGGAUGAAGGUCCUCUGGAUUGUAAACUUCUUUUAUCUGGGACGAAAAAAGGGAAUUCUUUCUCGUCUGACGGUACCAGAUGAAUAAGCA
Molecule: ribosomal RNA, 363 nt
Filed under: uncultured bacterium #0319-8J1
Lineage: Bacteria; Pseudomonadati; Bacteroidota; Flavobacteriia
Description: bacterial SSU rRNA
Rfam family: Bacterial small subunit ribosomal RNA
Source: RNAcentral